This 1055-nucleotide long non-coding RNA is filed under the name Homo sapiens (human). RNAcentral describes it as "HSALNT0063473". The record is from RNAcentral. Lineage: Eukaryota; Metazoa; Chordata; Mammalia; Primates; Hominidae.
UCCACCUUUUGUGUCCUUCAAACUUCCAAGGGACAGCUCCUCUAUUCAAACAGGUUCUCGCGGGCUGGAGUGAAGUGGCACAAUCAUAUCUCACUACAGCCUCAAACUCCUGGGCUCAGUUGAUCUUCCUGAGUUGCCUCCCGAGUUGCUGGUACUACUGGUGCAUGCCACCACACCUGGAUAAUUUAUUUUUUAAUCUUUUGUGGAGACUAUAUCUUACUCUGUUGCCCAGGCUGGAGUGCAGUGGCACAAUCAUGGCCUACUGCAAACUUGAACUUCUGGGCUCCAGUGAUCCUCCUGCCUCAGCCUCCUGAAUAGUUGGGACUAUAGGCAAGCAUCACCAUACCCAGUUGAUUUCCUCUUACUUUUUGUGAAUACAGGCUCUCACUAUUCUGGACAGGCCAGUCUCAAACUCCUGGGCUCAAGCAAUCCUCCCACUUUGGCCUCUCAGAUUGUUGGGAUUACAAGCGUAAGCCUCUGCACCUAGCCUGCAUUCUCACUUUUUAAAAAACAAGAGAGUAUCUACUUCCACAUUAAAUUACAUAGUGUAGAUUAUAAAUCUUUUUGAUCUUCAUACUGACAAAUGAAGAAAUAAAAUCUCAAAAUUUUGAUAUGCAUGUUUAUAAAUUAUGCUCUGCAUCCUUCUAUCUGAGAACUACUUGAAUUUACUUUUCUCUGCACUGUGGAACCAUAUCCUUUCUAUGUUUUUAAGUAGUUUGUUGUUAUUUUUAUAAUAUCGCAGUCCCUUAACUCUGGUAAAUUUUACAAAUACCCCUAAUAUUCCUCAUGUUUUUACUUAAAUUUCAGCUUUAUUUAUAAAAUAAAAUUUUGCCUGAGAGAAAGUAUUAAGUUUUGUGCUUCAAUUUAUGGUUUCUGGGCAGAAAAGAGUCUUCAUAUCUAGAAACAAUAUACUAUUCAUACAGAACAUAACUACAUGUAAAUUUGUAUAAGCACACAGCUUCAUGUCUUCUUUUGUACUUUUUUGACUUCCAAUUUUUACAUUUUAAAUACUUAAUUUAACAGGAAUGUUGGUAUAAAGCAGAAAUAUUUUUCCU